Molecule: ribosomal RNA, 652 nt
Filed under: uncultured fungus
Lineage: Eukaryota; Fungi
Description: SSU rRNA
Rfam family: Eukaryotic small subunit ribosomal RNA
Source: RNAcentral
GGCUCUUGGUGAUCAUGAUAACUUAACGAAUCGCAUGGCCUUGCGCGGGAAUGGUUCAUUCAAAUUUCUGCCCUAUCAACUUUCGAUGGUAGGAUAGUGGCCUACCAUGGUAUCAACGGGUAACGGGGAAUUAGGGUUCUAUUCCGGAGAGGGAGCCUGAGAAACGGCUACCACAUCCAAGGAAGGCAGCAGGCGCGCAAAUUACCCAAUCCCGACACGGGGAGGUAGUGACAAUAAAUACUGAUACAGGGCUCUUUUGGGUCUUGUAAUUGGAAUGAGUACAAUUUAAAUCCCUUAACGAGGAACAAUUGGAGGGCAAGUCUGGUGCCAGCAGCCGCGGUAAUUCCAGCUCCAAUAGCGUAUAUUAAAGUUGUUGGCAGUUAAAAAGCUCGUAGUUGAACCUUGGGCCUGGCUGGCCGGUCCGGCUCACCGCGUGGCACUGGUCCGGCCGGGCCUUUCCUUCUGGGGAGCCGCAUGCCCUUCACUGGGUGUGUCGGGGAACCAGGACUUUUACUUUGAAAAAAUUAGAGUGUUCAAAGCAGGCCUUUGCUCGGAUACAUUAGCAUGGAAUAAUAGAAUAGGACGUGGGGUCCCUAUUUUGUUGGUUUCUAGGACCGCGUAAUGGAUUAAUAGGGAUAGUCGGGGGGCAUCA